GACAGAGGGUGGCAACGUUGUUCGGAAUUACUGGGCGUAAAGCGCGUGUAGGCUGCUUGGAAAGUCGGAUGUGAAAGCCCUGGGCUCAACCUAGGAAGUGCAUUCGAAACUUCUGAGCUGGAGUUCUGGAGAGGAAGGCGGAAUUCGUCGGUGUAGAGGUGAAAUUCGUAGAUAUCGAGAGGAACACCGGUGGCGAAGGCGGCCUCUGGACAGUCGACUGACGCUGAGACGCGAAAGCGGUGGGGAGCAAACAGGG
RNAcentral lists this ribosomal RNA (256 nucleotides) under uncultured bacterium. RNAcentral's name for it is "partial 16S ribosomal RNA". It matches the Rfam family "Bacterial small subunit ribosomal RNA", at positions 524 to 777 of the family's 1533-position model. The record is from RNAcentral.